Peromyscus maniculatus bairdii (prairie deer mouse) is the source of this 2076-nucleotide non-coding RNA. Lineage: Eukaryota; Metazoa; Chordata; Mammalia; Rodentia; Cricetidae. The record is from RefSeq and is a predicted model, not a curated record.
UGUUCCUUGGAGACUGUAGACACUGCUGGGUUUCUGUGGUUGGACUAAAGAGUAUUUACUCUUUCAUUUAGAGUACUCUCUUCUCUUACUGAGAAUGAGUUUAUUUACAUUGAAAAAGCGUUUGUUGGUUGUUUUGGGGAUCAUGAAGUGAUCAUAGCACUACAGUAGAUAUACCAAGACAGUGCUUCACCAAGACAACUUAAAUGGUGACUUUUAAUUAGAAGGAGGGACUUGUUUAUUGUGAAUUUAGUUGGGAUCCUGGUGCUCCCCGGUGCUCCUGGAUCUAAUAACACAGGUGAAGCCCAUGUUUGCCCUGUCAGGGCUGUGAAGCACCCCAAGCACUUUGGGGGCAAUGAUAUGAAAGAGCUCCUGAAAAGAAGAGAUCUGGACUGCACUUAUGCUUGAAAUGACAUUUGUACAACGUCAGCCACUGGUUUAGUCUAACAGUCUGGGCAUCCCCUGCCAUCUUCAAAAAUGUAUGCUCAGCAACUGAGCAUUGGGUGUGCAGACAGCUGGAAAAGAUGCAAAGCAAAAUGGAGGGCUGCAAGCCCUUCUCUCCAGGAGGCUGCCCGGAACUCACAUUCCUUACCCUCUGCUGCCAUCUAGUGGCUCCUCGUCCCUUCUUCACUGUGUGUUCGGCGUCAGAUGCAGCCUUCUCCGCUCUGGUGAAAGAGGAGUGAGCCGCUUCCAUUCAAGACAGUGAAGUAGAACAGAAAGCUGCCAGCUGUCUCCCUAGGGAAGGCAGACGCUGAGAGACACAGGGAAGGCAGUGGGGGCGUGUCUUCCAGAGCCCCAAAUUCAUUGAUCUACAGCAGCCAUCUCCCCCUUCUGGAUAUUACUAUUCAUCCGUUGAUUGACAUGUCCAUCCAUUAUUCAUUCAAGACCCCAUACUGUCCCAGCGUUGACAUUAUAGACACCACAACAACAAGUCUCAAGUUUCCACACCAGCUGCCGCAGUGUUUCCCGGACAGAGAAGGCCAGUUCAUUGCCAUUUCUUGCCUCCAUCUUCAGGUCAGUGCCUGAUCCAGCCAUCAUCAGAUAGGCUUCCUCCAGCAGAAGAUGGGAACAGAUGCAGAGACCCACAGCCAGAUACUUUGGAAGAGAGAGUUUGAAUUGGAGGUCUCCAUAAAAUCCCCUCCCCCCCCCCAGCUCAGAAAAUCUUGCAGAAGAUGAGGCACAAAGAUUAUGGGAGCCAGAGGAGAAAGAGGAUACUGGAGAACAACAGAAUCAGCUGAGCAAGGCACAUAUGAGCUCAUAGAGACUGAAGCAGCAAGCACAGGGCCUAUCUGGGUCCACACCAGGUCCUCUGCACAUAUAGUAUAGACAUUAGCUUAGUAUUUUUAUGGGAUUCCUGACUAUGAGAAUGAGUUGAUCUCUGACUCUUUUGCCUGCUCUUGGGACUCUUUUCUUCUUGUGGGAUUGCCAUGUCCAGCUUUGAUAUGAAAAGUUUUUUGCUUCAUCCUAUUAUAGUUUAGUUUCUCAAGUUUGGUUGUUAUCUCAUGAGAGACCAAAAGGGAGUGAAUCUGAAGAGGAAGGGUGGUAGGGAGGAACUGGGAGGAUUAGAGGGAGAGCAAGCUACAAUCAGGAUAUAUGAGAAAAAUCUAUUUUCAAUAAAAAAUAAAUAAAUGUCAGAGUGAUGAGAAAAGGAGAUAGGAACAAAUCAGGUAGACAUGGACAGGGCCCUAAAAACAGGCAGCUCUAAUUCUUGGUUUUAGCUAGGAAUAUCAGAAAUAUUCUGGCCAGACUCACUGAUUCAUGUCUUGGUUUCAAUUCUGCUCUAGCCAGCAGAUAAACAGGUCAGAAAUGUUCUGUCUAGAGACACUGGAGUGCACUGGUAUCCACAAUCUGGCCACAGGAAUGGAAAGAUGCAUGCACACCUGGUGGGUGGGCCACAUGGACUGACCUCAUCAUCUAUGCCUCAACCCAGUCUUUGCCAUAAGUCUUAGGAAAAGGCCCCAAAUGAGCAUCUUCCUGGUGCCCACCUCUGGGACCCCCCCUCUUCUGCCCUGGGGCUCUGCUUGCGUCCUCUCAAGUUCCCACUUACGAACCCAUAAUAAACUCCUUUAUUAAAUCACA